GUCUGGAGAUUCCGCCUUCUGGUGUUUUGUGGUGAGCCCAACUAAGGAGACCUUCAGGAACACCUAUGUCUCCCUGCUGAUUAGCAACUCAAGCUGUUUUUACUCUGUUCUUGAUCUGCUGAUGUCAACUGGAAACUUGCCAUUGAUUUCAGUGGCCAUAGCAAAUGUCUUAAGGAAAAAGGAAAAAAAAAUUGCUGCAUUAGCAUAAUUCAAAGAAAAAGUAAAGCAAAAUCAACAGCUCUGCCUGAAUCUCCUGUCCUCAUGAAAUGAACUGACUGCCCCCUGACAGUUCAUGCUGCUGAAGACAGAACUCUCAUUUCCUGUAGCAGUGGAUAUGUUCAUUCCUGGAAGGAAAUAGGAGGAUCUGUGGUUCUUCUCUGAUCUGUUUGACUGCAGUGGUGUAGAUUUAAAGUCACGGCACAUCCUCUCCCUUAGCAUCAAUACUACCAGGUGGAGAAUAUAAUUCCAUUGCAGAGCAAAGGAGAAGGCAACAAGAGGUCUUCAGAGAAGGAUAAAAACAUCUCUUUCAGUCAGCUCUGACUGCUAAUCUCUGUAAUAUAAUUUCUGCGGUCUGCCUGCAGCAGUUGGUGGCGAUCCAGUGAAUAGCUUUGCCAUUUCUCCAGCAGCUUUAACAUGGGUGGCCACAAGAGAUAAGUGCACAGGGUGCAGGCUGGCACCCAAGCAGCAGUGGGGAGCACAGGGGAAGAGGAAGGCAGGACCCCCAAGGCCCUGCAGAUGGAGUGAUUUGGACCAGUGGUUGUUUCUGGGCAGCUCCACAAAUGAUACAAAUUAUGAGAACUUGAGUCUCCCCAGUCAGAUUUUCAGACUGAAGCUUUCCUCAUUGUGUACUCACGUAAAACCUGAAGUGAAGCUGAUUAGAAACAAGGGAGAGCUGUCAAGUGAGUUCAGACGGUUUCAUGUCAGCUCCUAACAAAGCACAAACAACCUCUUCUGCGUCAACAAAAAAACACUAAGUUUUAUGCCUGAGCAAACAGCUUCCUAUGGUCUGUGGAGCAAUGACACGUACCCAUUAAUAUCCAGAGAGGCAUAAACUACCUGAACGACCCCAUCACAAAGGCUGAAUUCCUCCAAUAACACCCUCUGCAAGCAGGGGAGUGGCUGCAGGCCACCAAUACGCUUUGCAGUGCAUGUUAUGGACUGAAAGGUGUGCUACCCCAACGGAGGGAAGGGCAAGGAACCCUGCCAAGUAUUCUGCCCACGUACCAGAUAGUUUGUUAAAAAUCAACCAGAAGUGUCAUGGAUUGCAGUGCUUCUAGAAAACGGGACCACAGGCACAAUAAUGAACACUCAAAGUGCAUUCAGUGCGUCUAGUUUCUCGAUAGUCUUAAUUAUCAGCAUAAAUUACAGCUAACUCCUAAUUUUCUGUGAAGUCAUGACAGUUAUCAAGUAAUUGGGUGUCCUAGGCAGAGGCAGCAUGGCUCCAGCAGGCUGCAGAAUCUUGGGCAGAGCUCUCAGGUGCUCACAUUGCAAAAGCCUUACUGCCUGCUGCUGUUUGUGAGGCACUGCAGCCAGACAAACCCCCAGCUGACACAGCUCUGCAGUGCUCCUGCUGGCAUCUGCUGCAGAAUAAAUAUUGCCUGGGAUUUUCCAUCAUCCAGCAAUGACAGUGGUGACGCUGUUUAGAACUCUAUGUAUUUGCAGCCUCCCACAGCCAUCCAGAAUUAGCAGGGCAGUUUGACUCAUUUACCUAAACAGAUACAUUUGCUGAUACUUAAGAAAGCCAAGAGCAUCCAUACAAGGUAUUUGCAUGGGCCUGGCAGAGUUGACAAAGGAUCUGGGACAGACUUCUCUUCUUCUAGAGCAACAGAUGGGAGACAAGUGGAUUGCACCAAAUCUUGCAUGGCACUGGUCUCUAUUUUCAGGCAAAUAAAUGGGCUGGGAGUCAGCUCACAGCUGAAGCCAUCUGAGAAUAGGUGCCUGCGUAUGCCCUGGGCACCAGGGAUCCCAUCACAGUUAAUUGAGUUGUCUGAAGAUGAGAGAAUUAUUCAGCUGGCUAAUAGGUGUCUGCUCCAGGAUGAGCUUUCUGAGGUCCUCGGGAAAUAUCAGCUCUGGUCACAGAAUGGGAGCUUAGUUAGUCAGCUCCCACAUAUGUACAUGCAUACUUAUGUAGGGCUGUGAUAACACACUGUACUUGGUGUGCUUCUUCUGCCAAAGCUCUCGA
Long non-coding RNA from Lagopus muta (rock ptarmigan), 2182 nucleotides. RefSeq lists it as uncharacterized. The record is from RefSeq and is a predicted model, not a curated record. The transcript has 3 exons. NCBI's taxonomy places the organism in Eukaryota, Metazoa, Chordata, Aves, Galliformes, Phasianidae.